AAGCCGUGAAGAGCACUUGAUAUCAUCAGUGUUCUAGCUUUGGUGACUCAGAAACAAAUUUUGUGUACAGAAAAUAGCAUAUGGUCUGCAGGGAUUUCAUGUUCCUAAGCAAAAGCUCUGUUAAGAGAAAAAAGAAGAGGGAGAGGAGGAGAAGGACGAGAGAAAUAAAGAAACCACAGGCCAGUGGGAAUUGUGGGUUUCUGGGAUUGGGUAUUAUAGUAGAAAGAGCAAGAACUUAGUCUGGAGCCAGAGGGCCUAGGUUCUGUUACUAAGAAUGCUUCUGACCACCUGUGUGACCAGAUGAACAAGUCAUUGUACCUUCCUCAUUCACCAUUAAGAGUUGAAUGAAGGAAUUUAAUUGUAGAGAUGAAUCAUAGAUGAACUGAACUGUAGGGCAACUAGUUAUCGCAGGGACGCAGGGCAUAGAGCGCUAGGCCUGGAGUCAAAAAGACCCAAGUUCAAAUCCAGCCUCAGACAUUUACUAGAUGUGUGAUCCUGGGCAAGUCACUUAACUGCCAUUUGCCUCGGUUUCCUUCUCUGUAAAUAGCAAUAAUAAUAGCACCUACCAAAAAAAAAAUAAUAGCAUCUACCUCCCAGCAUUGUUGUGAGAAUAAAAUGAGAUAAUUGUAAAGUGCUUAGCGCA
Molecule: long non-coding RNA, 643 nt
Filed under: Phascolarctos cinereus (koala)
Lineage: Eukaryota; Metazoa; Chordata; Mammalia; Diprotodontia; Phascolarctidae
Description: lncRNA (ENSPCIG00000009370.2)
Source: RNAcentral